RNAcentral lists this ribosomal RNA (497 nucleotides) under uncultured bacterium. Its description in RNAcentral is "partial 16S ribosomal RNA". It matches the Rfam family "Bacterial small subunit ribosomal RNA", at positions 28 to 507 of the family's 1533-position model. The record is from RNAcentral.
GAUGAACGCUGGCGGCGUGCCUAAUACAUGCAAGUCGAGCGAACAGACGAGGAGCUUGCUCCUCUGACGUUAGCGGCGGACGGGUGAGUAACACGUGGAUAACCUACCUAUAAGACUGGGAUAACUUCGGGAAACCGGAGCUAAUACCGGAUAAUAUAUUGAACCGCAUGGUUCAAUAGUGAAAGACGGUUUUGCUGUCACUUAUAGAUGGAUCCGCGCCGCAUUAGCUGGUUGGUAAGGUAACGGCUUACCAAAGCAACGAUGCGUAGCCGACCUGAGAGGGUGAUCGGCCACACUGGAACUGAGACACGGUCCAGACUCCUACGGGAGGCAGCAGUAGGGAAUCUUCCGCAAUGGGCGAAAGCCUGACGGAGCAACGCCGCGUGAGUGAUGAAGGUCUUCGGAUCGUAAAACUCUGUUAUUAGGGAAGAACAAAUGUGUAAGUAACUAUGCACGUCUUGACGGUACCUAAUCAGAAAGCCACGGCUAACUACGUG